Long non-coding RNA from Capsicum annuum, 1301 nucleotides. RefSeq lists it as uncharacterized. Lineage: Eukaryota; Viridiplantae; Streptophyta; Magnoliopsida; Solanales; Solanaceae. The record is from RefSeq and is a predicted model, not a curated record. The transcript has 2 exons.
UCAUUUUUAAUUUUGGGCUACAAGAUCGGCCCAACAUUAACCAAAUCGGCCCACCUCACUUCUCUCUUUCCCUUAACCCCAAUGCAACAACACCAGUAGCCUAAACACCCUACAACAUCUGCCCCACCAGCCUAAUAUGCAACUAACCCGACCCACUCCUUCUUCUCCCUUUUCCUUUUACGUUCCAGCAAAACAGAGAGGCAGCAACAAUACACAUACAACUUCAGUAACGUCGUGAACAACAACAAUCAACAAAAAAUCAACCUUCAUCCAACCUUAACCCAAUUUUCUUUUCCCCCUUUCGAUUUGUACACUUGUCACAUGACCUCUACACGGGUUUGCUACGAAAAAAGUCCAGAACCUUUUAGAGAGGUGUUAGGUGGCAUCCAAGUUGAUGCUCAAAAGAAUAUUUCGCAAAAAUCCACCUGGAUAGCGGAAAUCAUACCAUGAAGGUACAUAUUUGCUUAAUUUUGAUUGGUCGGAAAAAAAUCCAUUUUUUCAGUAUUCUCAAUUUUAAAUUUCAUCAAGAACAAUCAAAAUUGGUACAAAUUAUUAGCUGAAAACCUUAUCUUGAACUACAAUUCAAAAAUAUCUCCAUUGAAAAUUCUGAAUUUACCCCUGAUUCCCCCUUUCCUCACAUCGUUUGAAGUCCAAAAACUCAAUCCUCCUUCCCUCCUACAAAAAAGCUCAUUGUGGAUCUGAAUUGGCAAGUCUCAAAAAGUUGGUAAAAAGCUUUUUGGGCAAAGAGUUAAAUUUUUUAGUAAGUUUUUUUAAGAAAAGCAGUAGGCUAAUAGGGGUUCUCGAAAAGAUUGUUUUUCGGUGGUGGUCAAGACUCCAAAGAAGGCUCGAAGUCUUAUUUUGCUGCUCUGAAAAAGAGUCUAAUUGGACUUUCCUCCCCUCCAUGCAUUUCUUGUCGGGUCAAGGAGGCCCAUCUCGCCCUUAUCGAAUCAAUGGAGAUUGAUAAAUGACGAAAAAAAUGGUCGUUUCAGGUUAAUGAAAGAUGGGUCAAAACCCAUUGACAAAGUUGUCAGGAUUUGGAGACUUUUCGUCUCGAUUUUAUUUCUCUUUUAUUUUGUAUUUAUUUGUUCAUUCAUUCAUUUUGGGCCUCAAAGCGAAAGUUGUAAUUUAAUACAGGUGAAACAGAUUUUUGAACCUUCAAGGUACGAAAAUUAGUUUAGGACAGGUGAAGAUGGGCCAAAAUUCCAAAUGAGUAGUUUAGUAUAGGUGGGUCAAAAGGCCAAUUUAAUUUAGGACAUGUUUCAUGGGUUUGGGCCCAAGAGCGUAAAUCUUUAAUUUCCUCC